Non-coding RNA from Callorhinus ursinus (northern fur seal), 4376 nucleotides. The record is from RefSeq and is a predicted model, not a curated record. Lineage: Eukaryota; Metazoa; Chordata; Mammalia; Carnivora; Otariidae.
CAGGGGUCAGGAUUCUGCUCCGUAGAGAAUGUGGAACUGCCCAAAUGGCCAAACGCAGCAAUUUCACAUGGUUCAACCUGACCACUUAGCGAGGUCACUGGGGUUUGGUUCUUGAGCUUCACAGACCCUGGGAUUCCGGAAGCCCCUCCCUCCAGGUGGAUCAGGUUGCCCAGUGCAGCUGCAAAGGUCCCCAAGCCCACUGUCUCCCGGACAUCGUUUCUCCUGCAGGCGUGGGCUCUCGUGGGUAGCUGCCCGCCUCUCCUGCAUAUCUGGCUCCCUGCCCGGCCCCCCAGCCCCCCAGGCCUAGCCAGGCCCUUUGCCGUUUCCUGGGGCCUUUCGGGGAAGCUCAGGCCAGAUAGAGCCUGCGACAAGCCUCCCUCCCCGCAUCUCCAGCAGGUUGUGGUCCCCGUGGGGCGUGCUCGAAAGCCGAGAUGAGAUGUGCUCUUCACAUCUGACAAAAGAGUUAAACUGACAAUUCCUCGCAGACUCAGGUUCAAAUCCUUAUUAAGCUGUUAAGUGAGGGGGGAUUUCAUAUCCUUCCAGAGGCUCUCCUUCUGCCACCAAGUGGCUGUGUGGGGGGGCUUUGUUCCUCGGCCUUUCCUUCGCUAUCUGGUCCUCCUGUGUCACCUGACAUGAGGGGGGAGCCACCAGAGGCCCCCCCUACAGCCUCUGGGGAAGCAGGAGCCCACGCAGCAGGAGCUGAGGGCCGGGAGAGGCAGACUGAGAACCAGGGGAGGGCAGCGUGGGGACCUGGAAAUGAGACCAGCACAGAGCAAUGAGUGGUCCUCAGGAAAUGUAAUGGGACACAUUCCCGAGCUGUAAAGAAGAUGUUUGUGACACAUGCUCAGCUGCGACAAGUUGCCACACACAUGGGGGCCUGUGGAUGAGGAGCCCCGGGAGGCACGGGUGUUAAAACGUGAGGCCGCCACACAGAAAGUUUGCUAUUUGCUCCUGCCAGGGGCUGAGGGCUCUCCCCACCUGAAUCCAACUCAGACCCCGUUUGAACCUCUUCUUCUGUGGGCCGUGCUCCCCACAGUGCAGAAGGGAGCCGGCGUUCAGAUCCGAUUCUAUGAAGGUCUGCAGAUAGACACCCCCCCGUUGUAAGUUCAUUGGGUGUGGGCUAAUCAGAAAGUAGGGAUCUCCCAUGCCCGCCCUACACAAACAUCCUCAGUGUUUUGCUCUUAGGUGGUUAAGAAUGGUUUAGUGUUGUUUGGAACAUUGGUCUGGGGGGUUUUGGAUGGUCUGCGAAUGUGCUCUCUCUUCUUUCCCCUUCCCCUAAUGGGAUAUGAGCUUCUGAUGCCUGCAGAUUUACUCUCCAAAGUGUUUCCAGGAAUUGAUGAUGUAUGGACAAUGUGGUGUACCUGCAUCUUACUGGCUCUCACCUGCUGGGUGUCAUUCUCAUGUGAGUGGGCCAGGUCAAGCCAGGAGAAAGCAGGUGCCGCUUGGCACCUGACAUGAUAAAUCCCUGCCUUCUUUUGUGAUUAACGGGAAAAAAAAAAAACCCACAAAUGCCCCCAAAGAACCCUGCUGGCUGUGGCUUUUGGAAACCCUCUCUUAGGGACCCCCCUGCGACCUGUCGGGCAGGAGCCCUGGGAGGCCAUGGGCGGGCACUUUGCAGCCAGGCUGCAGCAGGAGGCUGGUCAUGACCGAGGACACCACGGAGCCGGCAUGCAGAGCUCGGCCCCUCACAGCGCCUGUCGUGGGUGAGCAGCCCUUGUCAUGGAUCAGAGCCACAACCGACUGAUCUUCUCGAGGCUGGCCCUCUCAGCCAGAGGCCUGGUGUGUCUGCUGUGCCGCAGUGCUGCCUGGCCCGCCUGGGAGCCGGCUGCAGACUUUCCUGCAGCAAACUGGUGCUUGCCUGUCCAUCACGGCGAGCCAUGCCUGCCUGCGGUGCCUGGCAGCUGAAAGACCCCUGGAUUCUGGCAGAGUAUGUUCAUGGCCUGAAAGCUCAUCUUGUAGUCCCUCUACCCUGAGAUGCAGCUUCUGUGCUAGUGGGAUUCAUGCUCAGCUCCUUCCUCCUCGGGCCUCCCUGGGCCUGCAUCACCAUCGUCUGCCAGGGACAGCCACUCGGCAAGGACUCAGGGCAAAUCCUCUACUUCCUCUGUAUUGGCACCAGCCCCGGGGACGGAGUGGCUGUGUCUGCUGCAAGCGGCAUAUGCGUGAAGAGGUGGACAAAGACACAGCCACCAUUAGCAGGUACUGCUUGCCGAAUGCUCCGUAAGUACCUUGGAAACAGGCCACCCUGGGAAAUAAAUGAUCCACGGGGCCCCUGUAACCUCCAGCUCCCUUGGCGGCCGUUCCUGUUCCCUGAAGGCCCCCCUCCCUCCUGGGGGGCUCCCGGGAACCGGGUGGCAGAAACCAGCCUGGUGAUUUACCUCCCACCUUCCUGGGACUCCCCACCAGGCCCGUGCAUCUCAUGUUUCAUUAUGAGGCUGUGGAUGGUGGUGAUAUUAAUUAUGGGGCUGAGGCUGUGUCACCUGAAGAAAGUUGGUGCAUGUGUAAUUUGACUUUCCUCAAGAAGGAGAAUUAUAUUUUUCCUGAUCUCAUUCUCUCGCAAGAAUGCCAGGGAAGCAAGCAGAAUCACACUUAAGGGUUUUAAACUGAUGAGCUUCAGUUAAAAAAAUUAAAAUCCUUUCCAUCUGGCGAAGAUUGGGAGAAUCCACCUCUAGAAUUCGGGGUUUCUCGGUAGGGGCCAGCGGCUCUCCCGUGGGGAGGGCUGUGGGUGCACUGUGAGGCAGAGCUUGGCCUGUGGUGCAAAGCCAAGGGUGGGUCAUGGCUGGGUUUUCUACAGACAUAGAGCAAGAGCAUUUCUUGGCAAAACUUAUUCUUGGCUGAAAGCAAACGGGCACAUUCCAAAGGGUGAGAUGGGGAGAGUUUGACACUCGUUGGUUUUGUAAGUAAACACCAGAUUAAUGCAAGAACACCAAUAACAGUAAUGACCUAAAUGAGAGCUUGUGUGACAGUCCUGGCCCUCAUCCACAUGCCGUGGGUGCAUGCUUGCUGCCAUCCGGCCUUCCCGGAAGUCCUGCAGGGGGUCCCCCGCUUUAACCCCAUCACACAGAGGAGGCGGGCGACACAGAUGCGCCUGGGCCUGUGCUCAGUCUGCAGGACACAGACAGCACGGCAGACUUCCUCAUUCGAAGCGAUUCCAUUAAGAACGUUGUCGUGCCAUUAUGUCAGCAAUGAAAUCAGUGCUGCCGUCUUAGGCUCUUACUGUGUGCUAAGCAUUUGUGUGUGCGUGCGUGCGCUGGUGUGCAUGCGUGCACACAGGCAUGGGCCCAUGUGUGUGCACACGCAUGUGGAAGGAAAAUGACGUGGGUGAGCCUGGAGAAUUCCAGAUGCCGGAGGGGCCCGCAUGUGUGGCUGCUGCUGGAAGUGGGAGUCAGGGCCGUGUUGGUGACGUCACCUCAGGAGAAAUGGGUUCCAAAUCCACAUUUAUUCCCAGUUCUCUGUGUGAUCUUGGUCAUGCCGCUUUAUCUCCCUGAACUUUGUUCUUUAAACAUCUUUUAAGCUUUAAGGCUGUCGGACCGUUAUACACACGGAGAAAGGCGUGUGUGAAGGCCCUGUGUCAUGAAUACUCACAAGGUGAACAGAUGUGACCCCCACUCGGAUAAAGAGCGAGCCCAGCCUUCAGCCAGCUGGGCAGCCACUGGGCAUCCCUCCCCAGGCACGCGCCUCCCAGAGCCCAUCCCUCGCCAAGUCUUUUCUUACCCGCGGGGAGGAAAUGUGUGCCAUCAUCAUCAAGAAGGCAGUGGCAAGACGAAGGUGACCGUGUGUCCGGCCCGGUGCAAAGCCCUUGACGGGAACUGUUUUGUGGGCCUCCCGGGGGGGCACGAUUACGGCCAGUGCUGGCGCUCCCCUCGCUUUGCAGACGAGGACGGCAUGGCUCUGAAAUGGGAUCCAAACAGAUUAGCCCAGUUGUGAGCGUGACCCUGUCUGUCCCGCGCUGUUCUCGGACUUCAGUUUUUCUUCCUGCUUCCUUUAUUCAUUCCAAGUACCUCCCUGUCGUGUUUGUUGGAGGGUGGCUGUGCUGGUGUCCGGCCACAGACUAUAGAUCAGGCCCCCGGACACCGUGUCGGGCUGUGAUGAUUUCCAUUUUACCUCCCCAGGAAUCAAGGGGCCCCAGGAAGAAGCCAGCUCACAUGAUAAAUUAUUCAACAGAAGGACAGAAAGCUCUGCUGCACCGAACCUAAGGAUUUGGGGUAGACAAUGGGAAAUUAUUAAUAAAAAAAUUCUACCACUUUCUUCUUCCCACAGUGGGAGAGACUCAUGGAAUCAACUCUGAGUGAAGGCAUCAAGUUUAAGCUGUUAAUUACUUCUUAAUCAUGCAGAAUAAAAGCUACAUCCCUUAAAAUACACCAGACAGCUAAACCUAA